Molecule: long non-coding RNA, 509 nt
Filed under: Brassica napus (rape)
Lineage: Eukaryota; Viridiplantae; Streptophyta; Magnoliopsida; Brassicales; Brassicaceae
Description: long non-coding RNA (BNAP_LNC000894)
Source: RNAcentral
AGAGGUCUAAUGGAAAGAGGGGAAAAUUAGGAUUAUGUGAGAAAGAGGGGAAAAUUAGGGAAGAUAGAGGGAUAACACGAUUAGAGAGAGGGAAAGUGAGUUGAUUAAUGAUUUUUUACUAAGUGUGUACGCGGAAUAGCUAAUUUUGGGUUCCCGCUUAAUGAAAAACUAUGAUAGCAAUUAUAUAGCGCUAUUAAACUAAAUUUUUUUUUAAAGUUCUUACAAUAGCAGUUCGAUAAAACGAGCUAUCGUACUGUGCUAUCAAUGUGGACUUUUUUUGUAGUGUAUUUAAAGGGUUGGGUUUUGGUUUGGGUGGGUUUGCUAAUGGUUUAGGUGGUGGUCUGAGUGCAUUGAUGUAAUCAUUAUCGAUAGAGGGUAACCGCACUCGGUAUGUCAGAGGUGCCUGUCGAUCGAUGGGAGGUGUGUUUUGACGAUCGACGUCGGACUCACUCUGUCGAUCAAUGGGUUGCUCAACCGAUCGAUCGAUUUUUUCAUAGAAAGGGGAGGGU